Molecule: long non-coding RNA, 263 nt
Filed under: Monodelphis domestica (gray short-tailed opossum)
Lineage: Eukaryota; Metazoa; Chordata; Mammalia; Didelphimorphia; Didelphidae
Description: lncRNA (ENSMODG00000049372.1)
Source: RNAcentral
AUGGAGAAAGCACAGAGAAAGGAAGGAUUAUUCACAAAGUUGAUUAAAAUCACUCAAGAUGCUCCUCCUCAGCUCUGCUGCCUCAAAUUUUUUCAAAUGCUUCAAAAGGUCUUUCAGAGAAGGACCACUACCACAUGGUUAGACACAGAUUCUUUCAGGAUCCUAAGGAGCAACCCUGUUGAGAGAAAAUAAAAUCUCCUUCCUGUCAAUGUAAGCUAUUUAGCCCUCACCAGUGGGGUUCUAUUUACACAAUUAGCCACUCG